GUUGGGGUCUCGCUGGAGGUAGGCUGCUAGUGGCCUCUUCUAGGUAGAAAUCCCCUGAGGAGUCAAACUCCUCGAGGUCGGCAGCCAUUUUGGGGCCAUAUGAACCUUGCACCUGGUGGAAUAAAUCUCGUAUGCUGUCCCUCCGUUUGGGUCUGUCUGACUUUUGCUUUUUUGUUUUCCUCCCCAUUGCAGUUAUGGGUCACUUG
Molecule: non-coding RNA, 206 nt
Organism: Pelobates cultripes (western spadefoot toad)
Lineage: Eukaryota; Metazoa; Chordata; Amphibia; Anura; Pelobatidae
Source: the annotation of a GenBank genome assembly